This 78-nucleotide non-coding RNA is filed under the name Streptomyces pluripotens. Lineage: Bacteria; Bacillati; Actinomycetota; Actinomycetes; Kitasatosporales; Streptomycetaceae. The record is from RNAcentral.
GGGAAUCCGGUGUGAAUCCGGAACUGUCCCGCAACGGUGUACUCGCGCGCAUCCGCACGCUUGUUCAGUCCGAGGACC